UGCAUUUGUGCGGGUGGGAAAAAGCCUUCUUUCCGGUGGCUGGAGGAAGCCCCAGGCCGCGCGGCGUGGCAGGUGGAACGCAGGCUGCAUUGCAGCCGGCCUCCCGGCCUCUGCCAGGGAUGGCUUGUGCAGCGGGCAGACCGCGCGACCGGAGCCGUGGCCCGAACGCAGCCACAGUACCUGCCCGGCGCCGACGCCGGUUCCCAGAACGCAGGGCACGCCCCCCCUCGAGUGUCCUGCGGGUACUUGGUAGCCACUGUUACCCAGGAACUUCCGUUGUCUUUUCAACAGACGCCAUCAGUCUUACGUUUCUGUUCAGGUCUCGGUGUGGAAGGCCCGCGUCAUCUGAAAUGGAGAAAGGGUGGGGGCUUCAGAUGUAGUGUGUUCAGGAGAAGAGCAUCGUGCUGCUUUGUCAUGAAAGACCACGGUGUGGAACUGGACACAUCCAAAGUCGUAGAGUAAAAUCCCGUCUUCAUCCCGAGGUGGCGAGUCUGUUUUUCAGGGCAAAGACUGAACCAGGAAGAUGAAGAUCAAAAAAGAAAAGGCUCAUGAGACCAGACCGCCAAUGACUUGCCAAAGACGACUGCCCCGCUGAAAACUACCACACCGAGAUAAGAAAGUUUUGUCUCCUGGAUUCCGCAAAUACUGCCAGCCCUUCCUAUUUCUCAAUGACCACCAAAGGUGGCCCCAGUUCUUCCAGCCAAAAGUCCCUAGUACAGCCCAAAUGGUAAAAAAGACCUGACACUCUUCAAAUGGGGGUGACUUCUAGGGCCCCCCUGUCUUGGGGCCCAAGAACCUUGUCCAGGAGCACUAAAUAAAGCCACGUGGUUUGGCCACACUCUUUCUUUCUCUCUCUCUGUCUUUUCUUUUUGCCACCGCCACUGAAAAAUCUUACACUA
Molecule: non-coding RNA, 899 nt
Organism: Microcebus murinus (gray mouse lemur)
Lineage: Eukaryota; Metazoa; Chordata; Mammalia; Primates; Cheirogaleidae
Source: RefSeq, a predicted model, not a curated record